AGUUGUGAGCGGCUGGCGAUGGUUGGCGUACGGCGAGGCAGAGGGAGGCCCAAGAGGUAUUGGGGAGAGGUGAUUAGGCAUGACAUGGCUAGAAUGCGGGUUUCCAACGACAUGGCCCUUGAUAGGAAAGUCUGGAGGUCUAGUAUCAGGGUCGUAGGAUAGGGGUUCCUAGAGAUUUUCGUACUCCUCACCCGGGGUUGUGUGAGGCUUGGCAGGGCU
This 219-nucleotide long non-coding RNA is filed under the name Nicotiana benthamiana. RNAcentral's name for it is "long non-coding RNA (NBEN_LNC005982)". The record is from RNAcentral. Lineage: Eukaryota; Viridiplantae; Streptophyta; Magnoliopsida; Solanales; Solanaceae.